GUGGGGAAUAUUGGGCAAUGGGCGCAAGCCUGACCCAGCAACGCCGCGUGAGGUAAGAAGGCUUUCGGGUUGUAAACCUCUGUCCUUGGUGACGAAACAAAUGACGGUAGCCAAGGAGGAAGCCCCGGCUAACUACGUGCCAGCAGCCGCGGUAAUACGUAGGGGGCGAGCGUUGUCCGGAAUUACUGGGCGUAAAGGGUGCGUAGGUGGCCUGUUAAGUUGGAUGUGAAAUACCCGGGCUUAACUUGGGGGGUGCAUCCAAAACUGGGAGGCUAGAGGGCAGGAGAGGAAAGCGGAAUUCCUAGUGUAGCGGUGAAAUGCGUAGAUGUUAGGAGGAACACCAGUGGCGAAGGCGGCUUUCUGGACUGUAACUGACACUGAGGCACGAAAGCGUGGGGAGCAAACAGGAUUAGAAACCCUUGUAGUCC
RNAcentral lists this ribosomal RNA (428 nucleotides) under uncultured bacterium. RNAcentral's name for it is "partial 16S ribosomal RNA". It matches the Rfam family "Bacterial small subunit ribosomal RNA", at positions 354 to 796 of the family's 1533-position model. The record is from RNAcentral.